AGCAACCUGAAACAACCACUGCGUUUCCAGAAGAGUGUCUUUCAAUAUAAAGCCUACUCCUGAGUAACUGGCACACGCUCAGCGAGCACAACACGAAGACAACUGGCAGCCAGCUGCCCUUAUGAAAUACUCCAUGACCAUAGGAGGGUACCUGAUCUGGCCAUGUGGAGCUGUUAGCACUUUUCUUCAUCUCAGUACCUCCAUGGUUCUGAUAUACGACGAAAUUCCUCCAACCCGGACACUUUCUGAGCUUCCUUUUAACCUCAUCUUCUUACUCUGUCUUCGGUGUUGCUUUGUCGUGAACGCAUUCACAAAUUUUACAAAAAUCUUUCUCUCUAGUGUGGCAUUGCCAGCCCUUUGGCAGUGUCCCUGCACAGACUCAAGCUGCUCUGAUGUGUUGAAGCAGGGAUGAGGAAUCCCUGGUGAAUGCCAUAAUUUUGCUGAGAUGCAGCCUGAGGUUGCCUGGUGCCAGGGCCUGCAGGUCCCCGUGACUCGCCAGGACCCGUGCUGCUCUUUCAAAUAAUGGACAGCAGGUGGUAGCACAUGUUCAUUCCAAUAUUUUUUAUUUUUUUUAAAGAAUUACUCCUUCCAAAGCUUCACCUUUUUUAUGAAAAGGGGUCUGGAGGAGAAAAUCAAGUGCCAGAGAGGAUGUGUAUUUAGCCUGCUUCCAGGCUUUUCUUUUUCCCAAGAAAGCUAAAGCCACUCCCUUCACCUCUGACAUUUCUAGAGUCAUUUUUCCUCAGUGAGCUUCUCUGUUGAGUUACAGAAAGAGCGAGUCUUGGCUUGAAUCUGUAACAUCAUGCAGGAUAAUUUUGCUGUGGAAGCAUGCAGGUAGUGCUGAGUAAGCAGAAGACAGAGGCUGGGAAAAGCAUUGCGCUCAAACAGACUGUGCCUUCCUGCAUGGGAAAGCUGAAUUAACUUGGUUGAAUCAGCUAACAGUUCUGCUGAAAUGAAAGAAGCUCUCCCAGCCCAAAUGGACCGCAAGCAGAAGGCUGCUGAGAGAUGGGACAAUAGCCAGGGUAGAGUUUCACACAGAAGGGCUCUGGUCACUUGGUUCACUCUACUCUCAUGCUGGCAUGUAAAACAUACAGGGCUCUCUUCCCUGCAAGCUGUAAAUCAACAGACACAAAGUAAACUAUUCUGAGCAAAUAUUGCUGUAAGUUUUAUUAUAAUAGGGUGCUUUGUAUGGGGCUGGUGAGAACAUCUGCAUGAACAUGGACUAAGACGCAUGAGAGGUUUGAAAGCAUUCAGCCCAGUGAAUUGAUAUGUCAAUAGCACAUUCAUCCCAUGAUUUAUUUAGUACAGACACUGUUUACUGCUCGCUUUGGAAAUAUUUCAGUUCCAAUAAAGGUGUAAACUUUAUUUUUUUUAAUAAUUAGACUUACAUAAUUAAAGUUAUAUGACAGUCUCCUAUGGCCUGAGAAAUACUGCUUCAAUGAGAUGUUCUUAAAUGAAAUUGAGGUGACUUAGCCUCAGAUUUCUCCUUUGACUGGGUUUAUAAUUGCUUUCAGACUGCCCUUAAAGUGCCCACAUCUGGGCAGCAGCAUCUGCAGUUUGAUUGCACAGAUAACAGCAAAGAUCUUCCCUGGUCAGACAUGGACCAGAGCACAGCUGAGCUGAGCCAAGAGGCUUAGCCCAUCUCUGUGGGAUGUAUUUUCAGAGGUAGCUGGUUGUGUCAUACAUACAAAAAUCUAUCAUACAUUUAUUUACUCCAGAAUGUUAUGCUAUAGAAAACAGACACUGUCACAAGAAUACAUGAUCCAGCUUGGCUCUGCAUAAUCUGAACUGUCUAGGUUUCUUCAGAAUUAAACCAUAAGCCUGCC
This is a long non-coding RNA of Gallus gallus (chicken), 1823 nucleotides long. The record is from Ensembl. NCBI's taxonomy places the organism in Eukaryota, Metazoa, Chordata, Aves, Galliformes, Phasianidae.